Molecule: transfer RNA, 77 nt
Filed under: Klebsiella pneumoniae
Lineage: Bacteria; Pseudomonadati; Pseudomonadota; Gammaproteobacteria; Enterobacterales; Enterobacteriaceae
Description: tRNA-Leu
Rfam family: tRNA
About the family: Transfer RNA (tRNA) molecules are approximately 80 nucleotides in length.
Source: RNAcentral
GGCUACGUAGUUCAUCUGGUUAGAGCACAUCACUUAGAAUGAUGGGGUCACAUGUUAGAAUCCCGUCGUAGCCACCA